UGGAUCACAUUUAUGUAUGAAGGAUUCUAUCCAAACUUUGAAAUGUCUUUUGACUUUAUAUUUUAAAAUGUGCAUGCAUGUGCAUUCAUGAAUGAGAGAGAAAUGAUGAAUGUUAGAUCAUUGGGUUAGAACCAAACACAGUGUGGGCAGCUCUGCUGCAAGCUUUGUUAUUACAGUUUGGGCCUGACAUAUGAGUUGGAAAAU
This is a non-coding RNA of Choloepus hoffmanni (Hoffmann's two-fingered sloth), 204 nucleotides long. The record is from Rfam. Lineage: Eukaryota; Metazoa; Chordata; Mammalia; Pilosa; Megalonychidae.